Molecule: ribosomal RNA, 315 nt
Filed under: Salmonella enterica subsp. enterica serovar Agoueve
Lineage: Bacteria; Pseudomonadati; Pseudomonadota; Gammaproteobacteria; Enterobacterales; Enterobacteriaceae
Description: bacterial SSU rRNA
Rfam family: Bacterial small subunit ribosomal RNA
Source: RNAcentral
CGCAGGCGGUCUGUCAAGUCGGAUGUGAAAUCCCCGGGCUCAACCUGGGAACUGCAUUCGAAACUGGCAGGCUUGAGUCUUGUAGAGGGGGGUAGAAUUCCAGGUGUAGCGGUGAAAUGCGUAGAGAUCUGGAGGAAUACCGGUGGCGAAGGCGGCCCCCUGGACAAAGACUGACGCUCAGGUGCGAAAGCGUGGGGAGCAAACAGGAUUAGAUACCCUGGUAGUCCACGCCGUAAACGAUGUCUACUUGGAGGUUGUGCCCUUGAGGCGUGGCUUCCGGAGCUAACGCGUUAAGUAGACCGCCUGGGGAGUACG